RNAcentral lists this long non-coding RNA (841 nucleotides) under Nicotiana benthamiana. RNAcentral describes it as "long non-coding RNA (NBEN_LNC008880)". Lineage: Eukaryota; Viridiplantae; Streptophyta; Magnoliopsida; Solanales; Solanaceae. The record is from RNAcentral.
CAGCUGUCUCUCUUCCAGCUAUAAAUCGACUGUAUAUGACCAAUGGUCCUACGCUAACACAUCAACAGAAGAAAGAUCUAGUUGCUGAUAUCACUGAUUUUGAGAUUCUGGACAGUCUGAAGUCAAUUGGUGAUGACAAAGCCCCGUGAAUUGAUGGGUAUAAUGCACUGUUCUUCAAGCAAACUUGGAACAUCACUGGCAAACAAAUAAUUGGUGCAGUCAAGAAUUUUUUCCAGACCAACAGGAUGUACAAACCACUCAACUCUGCCUCCCUUACCCUGAUACCUAAAGUUCCUAAUCCAACAACAGUCAAAGUGUUCAGACCAAUAGCUUGAUGUUCAGUGUUAUAUAAACUGAUUUCCAAGAUAUUAGACAACAGAAUGUAGAAAAUCAUGGCUAGCAUCAUCUGUGAUGCUCAAGCAGGAUUCAUCCCAAGCAGAAAGAUUGCAGACAAUGUUAUAUUGGCCCAUUUUUAAUCAAAAAUUACUCCAGAUCUCAUGUAACUCCUAGAUGCAUGAUCAAAAUUGACCUGCAGAAGGCAUAUGAUUCUGUCGAAUGGAUUUUCUUGCAAAUUACUCCAGAUCUCAUGUAACUCCUAGAUGCAUGAUCAAAAUUGACCUGCAGAAGGCAUAUGAUUCUGUCGAACGGAUUUUCUUGCAACAGGUAAUGGAGGCAAUGGGAUUUCCAGUCAGAUUCACAAGCUAGAUUAUGGAAUGUGUCCAAACAAUCAGCUAUACAGUGAUGAUCAAUGGGGAAACAACUGAACCUUUUAAAGCAGCUAAAGGCCUUAGACAAGGUGAUCCAAUCUCUCCAUUUCUCUUUGCUAUAGUAAUGGAGUACU